RNAcentral lists this ribosomal RNA (942 nucleotides) under Pseudoshiraia conidialis. RNAcentral describes it as "Shiraiaceae sp. CLH-2021a partial large subunit ribosomal RNA". It matches the Rfam family "Eukaryotic large subunit ribosomal RNA", at positions 24 to 978 of the family's 3401-position model. The record is from RNAcentral. Lineage: Eukaryota; Fungi; Ascomycota; Dothideomycetes; Pleosporales; Shiraiaceae.
UACCCCGCUGGGAACUUAAGCAUAUCAAUAAGCGGAGGAAAAGAAACCAACAGGGAUUGCCCUAGUAACGGCGAGUGAAGCGGCAACAGCUCAAAUUUGAAAUCUGGCUCUUUCAGAGUCCGAGUUGUAAUUUGCAGAGGGCGCUUUGGCGUCGGCAGCGGUCCAAGUUCUUUGGAACAGGACGUCACAGAGGGUGAGAAUCCCGUACGUGGUCGCUAGCCUUCGCCGUGUAAAGCCCCUUCGACGAGUCGAGUUGUUUGGGAAUGCAGCUCUAAAUGGGAGGUAAAUUUCUUCUAAAGCUAAAUACUGGCCAGAGACCGAUAGCGCACAAGUAGAGUGAUCGAAAGAUGAAAAGCACUUUGGAAAGAGAGUCAAAUAGCACGUGAAAUUGUUGAAAGGGAAGCGCUUGCAGCCAGACUUACCUGUAGUUGCUUAUCUGGACUUUUGUCCAGUGCACUCUUCUACGGGUAGGCCAGCAUCAGUUUGGGCGGUUGGAUAAAGGUCUCUGUCACGUACCUCCCUUCGGGGUGGCCUUAUAGGGGAGACGUCAUGCAACCAGCCUGGACUGAGGUCCGCGCAUCUGCUAGGAUGCUGGCGUAAUGGCUGUAAGCGGCCCGUCUUGAAACACGGACCAAGGAGUCUAACAUCUAUGCGAGUGUUUGGGUGUCAAGCCCAGACGCGUAAUGAAAGUGAACGGAGGUGGGAACCCUUUGGGUGCACCAUCGACCGAUCCUGAUGUCUUCGGAUGGAUUUGAGUAAGAGCAUGGCUGUUGGGACCCGAAAGAUGGUGAACUAUGCUUGAAUAGGGUGAAGCCAGAGGAAACUCUGGUGGAGGCUCGCAGCGGUUCUGACGUGCAAAUCGAUCGUCAAAUUUGGGCAUAGGGGCGAAAGACUAAUCGAACUAUCUAGUAGCUGGUUCCUGCCGAAGUUCCCCCUUCAGGA